GCCUCCCAGCAUGCAGCACGGCCACGUCCUGACGCCGGCGCCAUCGGACCGGUGCAUGCCGGGAAGUAGAGUUUUUCCGUCUCUGAACGGCCCAGAGACGUUUCCUCUCCCCUCUAACGCCGCUCACACUCUGCAGUCUUCAGAGGCCAGGAUAUGUUAAUGCUGGAGUUGUUCCUGUGUGGUGGCCUCUCAGAUCUAAUGUGGACACAAUGAAGUACAAAGGAUGUGACAGAACUAUGCAAGAAUGGAUUUAGAGGUUGUCCAUCAGUCAAUACUACGCCCAGUCAACAGAUCACAUCAGAAAAUGCAGCACAAGAUGAGUUUACGAGUAUAUUGAAAAAGAAAGAGACAUGCCCCUGAAGGCAAACACAGGCAAAAGUAAAUGUGAUGGCAGUUAAAGACUUCAUUUGUUUUUCUGAUAGGGUAGCACAGGAAAUCGGAGCAGCAAGCUUUAGCAAAGGAUUUCAGUCUGGCAGCUGGCGAUGUUAAAUCCAAGUAGACGUCAUUUGUAUGUUUAAUGUUUGUCUGGCAUAAACGGUGAUUCAUUGAAAAAAGGCCUAUUUGUUGACAAAAUGUAAAAAUAUGAGGUGAACACAAGAGCAUGUCAAGUGGAAAUGUGCGCUAGCUGAACCCUGAAUGCUCUUUCCUGGAUGUGUUAUUAGGCAGGCCCUUGUUGUGUGUUGCAGAUGCCUGCCAUUACUUGGUUGAGAAUCCAGACAGUACAUGUCUCAAUUCUAUUGAUGUCCCAAAUCUGGAUGGGACAAAAAAUACUCUGGGUAAGAGUCAAGAUUCUAAAAUUUUGAAAAUCUGGAACUAAAUACAGUAAGAUACACAUUUUAGUAAGAAUAAAUAUAAGUAAUGAGGCUUUAAAAAAGUCAGCCUCAGGGAUUAAUCUCCAAAAUAUACAAAAUAGCUCAUGCAGCUCAAUAUCAAAAAACAAAUAACCCAAUCAAAAAAUGGCAGGGAAGAUCUAAAUAGACAUUUCUCCAAAGAAGACCUACAGAUGGCCAAAAAACACACUAAAAGAUGCUCAACAUCACUAAUUAUCAGAGAAAUGCAAAUCAAAACUACAAUGAGGUAUCACCUCACACUGGUCAGAAUGGCUAUCAUCAAAAAAUCUACAAACAAUAAACACUGGACAGGGUGUAGAGAAAAGGGAACUCUCUUGCACUGUUGGUGGGAAUGUAAAUUGAUACAGCCACUAUGGAGAACAGCAUGGAGGUCCCUUAAAAAACUAAAAACAGAACUACCGUAUGACCCAGCAAUCCCACUCCUGGGCAUAUACCCAGAGAAAACCAUAAUUCAAAAAGAUACAUGCAACCCAAUGUUCAUUGCAGGACUAUUUACAAGAGCCAGGACAUGGAAGCAACCUAAAUGUCCAUCCACAGAGGAAUGGAUAAAGAAGAUGUGGUACGUACAUACAAUGGAAUAUUACUCAGCCAUAAAAAGGAACAAAACAGUGCAAUUUGCAGAGACGUGGAUAGACCCAGAAACUGUCAUACAGAGUGAAGAAAGAGAAAAACAAAUAUCGUAUAAUAUCGCUUAUAUGUGGAAUCUAGAGAAAUGGUACAGAUGAACUUAUUUGCAAAGCAGAAAUAGAGACACAGAUGUAGAGAACAGAUUUAUGAAUACUGAGGCGAGGGGGGAAGCUGGGGGUGGGAUGAAUUGGGAGACUGGGAUUGACAUAUAUACCUACUAUGUAUAAAAUAGAUAACUAAUGAGAACCUACUGUUUAGCACAGGGAACUCUACUCAAUGCUUUGUGGUGACCUAAAUGGGAAGGAAAUCUAAAAAACAGGGGAUAUAUGUAUAUGUAUAACUGAUUCACCUUGCUGUACAACAGAAACUAAUACAACAUUGUAAAGCAACUAUACUCCAAUAAAAAUAUAAAAUAAAAAAUCAGCCUCCAUGGAGAUGUGGACAAAGUGGCACAUGCAGAAAAGGCAAACUAUUAAAUUCAAGUUCAGUGUGAGAUGACAGUGCAAUGUCCACUGUCCACCAAAAAUGCAAGAGUGACUAAAGAAUAUUGGAAUAAGGAAUAAGGGAAUCAUUGGUCCUAUUCUGGAACAUUCAGAACUCGACACCUCACUUUAAGAACAUCAAAAGGGCACAUACGGAGAGAGAUUAGGAUGAUGAAGGGUCUAGAACUGACAGGAGCAAGAGGUGACUGAAGAAGAUCUGGGGGAAUGUGAGCUGUCUUUAAAUGCCUGCAGAGCUGCCCUUCAACAGAGCAACUGGGCAAUUCUUCAUGACUACACAAGACAGAAGUUACGUUAAUGGAUAGAAGGGGGAAACAGAUUUCAGUCUUACAAGUAAAAACCUCAAUACUGGAAGAUUUCAGAAACUGGGAAAAGGCUUGCUGGAAAAGCAGUAAAUUCCCAUGUGGUCACAGCACAUGUUCAGAAAAACUGGUGAUCUAUUUGUGGUCUGAGGGGUAGGAUGGUCAGAUACCAAUUGUGUUUGGGAAAAAGAUGAGAUGAUUUCUAAGGUUCAUUCAGUCUGAGCCUUAUAUGAGCCCAGCAGAAAACUGCUUUCUUUAACUAACUAUAACUAACUUAUUAUAUAAGAGCUAAACUCUUAGUAUGGCAAGUUAUUAUUUAAACGUGUCAAGUAAGACUGUGUUCGACAGGUCCAAUCUUCAGUUAUUUCAGAGCCCAGACAACUACAACCUUCCCUCCAGUGUGGGAGCCACAGGCAGGGACAAAAUCAGUAUCUGUGCACUUGUCAUUCACUACUAGAGAGGCUACUUACGGGAACAGACUGUAAAGAUUAGAUGGAAUCAACAUGAAAAAAUGCAACAAUUUCCGUAACAAUGAAUGGUU
Long non-coding RNA from Orcinus orca (killer whale), 2821 nucleotides. RefSeq lists it as uncharacterized. The transcript is spliced from 3 exons. NCBI's taxonomy places the organism in Eukaryota, Metazoa, Chordata, Mammalia, Artiodactyla, Delphinidae. The record is from RefSeq and is a predicted model, not a curated record.